Molecule: long non-coding RNA, 992 nt
Filed under: Bos taurus (domestic cattle)
Lineage: Eukaryota; Metazoa; Chordata; Mammalia; Artiodactyla; Bovidae
Description: long non-coding RNA NONBTAT007495
Source: RNAcentral
CCGCUCCUUCCCCUUCCCUCUCCCUGCCAGCGUCACCGCUCUCCCAGCCUAGUCGCUGCCGCUGGCUCUCCCCGUCGCUGACGUGGCCACCGCGGGUGACUACCCGACCACCGGAAGCGCAGCCCUUGUAGGGCGCAGAGUCCUGAGGGCUCCGCGGGGCCGGAAGCCGGGCAACAGCCGCCCGCGGUCUCUGGCCUGGCUCUCAUCUUCCGAACGACUCACCGGUCCCGCAAAGGAGCUUUCACCAUGGGACCGCAUCUCUAAUGCUGAAAAGCAGCUGAAAAUACCCAGGACCACCUGAUUCUCUGACUCAGUGGGACUCAACCCCUGACCUCAGGGGAGUUUCCUGAGCCAUGAAGGAAGACUUGAGCUGAGCACAGAAGGAAACAUGGGAAAGGAUGUUGGUUAUUAUUUUCCCAGCUAUUAUCCUGACCUGAUUACUCUUGUCAUUAUGGGCUCUCACUAAAGCUCAGUUGAGGAUAACACUAAAUGCUACCGAGAAUAACUUCAGAUUCCUCGGAUCCCAUGUUCCUGCAUUAGGUAUUCACACAGAUUAUGGAAGCAGCAAGGCUCCCUUCUGUGAACCACAUGGAUGAAAUGCUCAGCCUCCCUGGGCUGGGAGCCACGCACAGCUGAGAAACACCUUGGGCCCUGAAGCCAGAGCUGGCCACUACGGUACCUCUUCUUUAGAUUCUUCCUCCUGUCCCCAUUUCUUGAGUCUGUCUUUCUCCACACGUUAGCUCCUUCCCCAGGGGGUUUCUGGCCAUCACAACUGUGAUGCCAGCUUCCUGCCUACCCCAGACACCUAGCCACAGGAGGCCCAGCCCAUUAAGGUUUUGCCAAAACAACAUCUGCGGCAGCUCUUCUCUUGUUUUCUGUCUGGAGAUGAAGGGGGUUUGUCCUGGGCUUCAGGGAGUGAGGAUGAGGAGUAUUUACAACGUGUCUGUCCUCUCAGUUUGGGAAAGAGGCAAUAAAUUCAGCUUCAGAUGUGC